Molecule: transfer RNA, 75 nt
Filed under: bacterium
Lineage: Bacteria
Description: tRNA-Thr
Rfam family: tRNA
About the family: Transfer RNA (tRNA) molecules are approximately 80 nucleotides in length. Their secondary structure includes four short double-helical elements and three loops (D, anti-codon, and T loops).
Source: RNAcentral
GCCUGGAUAGCUUAGUGGUAAAGCACAGUCUUGGUAAGACUGAGAGCGCGGGUCCGAUCCCCGCUCCAGGCUCCA